Molecule: transfer RNA, 65 nt
Filed under: Andrena cineraria
Lineage: Eukaryota; Metazoa; Arthropoda; Insecta; Hymenoptera; Andrenidae
Also listed under: 4 other names
Description: tRNA-Leu
Rfam family: tRNA
About the family: Transfer RNA (tRNA) molecules are approximately 80 nucleotides in length. Their secondary structure includes four short double-helical elements and three loops (D, anti-codon, and T loops).
Source: RNAcentral
UUUAAUAUGGCAGAAUAGUGCAAUGGAUUUAAACCCCAUAUAUAAAAUUAAAAUUUUUAUUAAAA